Molecule: small nuclear RNA, 111 nt
Organism: Cricetulus griseus (Chinese hamster)
Lineage: Eukaryota; Metazoa; Chordata; Mammalia; Rodentia; Cricetidae
Source: Ensembl
GUGCUCACUUCAGCAGCACAUAUAAAAAAAAAAAAUGGAAAAAUACAGAGAAGACUAGCAUGGCCCCUACACAAGGAUGACAUGCAAAUUCAUUAUGCCAUCCAUAUUUGG